UACGUAGGUGGCAAGCGUUGUCCGGAUUUACUGGGCGUAAAGGAUGCGUAGGCGGAUGUUUAAGUGAGAUGUGAAAUACCCGAGCUCAACUUGGGUGCUGCAUUUCAAACUGGAUAUCUAGAGUGCAGGAGAGGAAAGCGGAAUUCCUAGUGUAGCGGUGAAAUGCGUAGAGAUUAGGAAGAACACCAGUGGCGAAGGCGGCUUUCUGGACUGUAACUGACGCUGGAGGCAUGAAAGCGUGGGGAGCAAACAGG
This 254-nucleotide ribosomal RNA is filed under the name uncultured bacterium. RNAcentral's name for it is "partial 16S ribosomal RNA". It matches the Rfam family "Bacterial small subunit ribosomal RNA", at positions 524 to 776 of the family's 1533-position model. The record is from RNAcentral.